Small nuclear RNA from Jaculus jaculus (lesser Egyptian jerboa), 106 nucleotides. The record is from Ensembl. NCBI's taxonomy places the organism in Eukaryota, Metazoa, Chordata, Mammalia, Rodentia, Dipodidae.
CUGAUAGCUUUGGCAGCACAUAUACUAAAAUUGGAAUGAUAUGGAGAAGAUUAGCAUGGCCCCUGCCAAGGAUGAUACACCAAUUUGUGAAGUGUUCCAUAUUUUU